Malus domestica (apple) is the source of this 1565-nucleotide RNA transcript. It is a transcript of the gene named transcription termination factor MTERF4, chloroplastic-like, with no coding region annotated. Lineage: Eukaryota; Viridiplantae; Streptophyta; Magnoliopsida; Rosales; Rosaceae. The record is from RefSeq and is a predicted model, not a curated record.
AGGAGCCAAAAGCCAAUCUUCUCCUGAUCAAAACCAGAAACCACCAUCCGAGUUGCAAAAUUUGAAAUUGGUCAUCUAUUAACAUGGUGGUGCUCUACAAAUUGAAGGCACUCACCCUCCUCAGAUUGGGUUACCCGCAAUCUUCUUCUUCCAUAUUAAAACUAUCUGUCGUUGGAGAUGUGAAACCCUCACAUUUUCCUCUUCAGAAUCUGCUGCUCUGCAGACAUUUCAACUCAGAAAUCUCAGAAACCCACCACGAUUUCACUGUCAAUUACCUCAUAAACUCAUGCGGGCUGUCCCCAGAAGGUGCGAUUUCAACAUCCAAGUGGGUUGAGUUGCGAUCCCCCAAAACAGCAGACUCCGUUCUGUCCUUUCUCAGAAACUAUGGAUUCUCUGAGACCCAGAUGUCGAAGAUGGUCAGGUCAUGCCCACAUCUUCUCCAAUUGCAUCCGGAGAAAACCCUUCUGCCAAAGCUUGAGUUUUUCGCUUCGUUCGGAGUUUCAAAGAAGGACCUUGCAACAACACUGCAAUAUGAACCGAAGCUUUUGGCCAUGAGCUUGGAGAAACGGAUUAUACCCACUUAUGAUUUCCUUAGGAGUAUGCUUUCUCAGAAAAAGGUCGUUUCGGUUUUCAGGCAUGGCUCGUGGAUUCUCGUGGAAGGCCACUCCAAGAAGGUUGCGCCAAAUAUUAAGGUUUUGAGAGAAUCAGGGAUGCCCCAGCACUGCAUUUCUAUGAUGCUUACUUGUCAUCCCAGAGCUUUAAUACUAAAGCCUAAAGAUUUUGGUCAACUUGUGGAUGAGGUUAAGCAAAUGGGUUUUAACCUGCAAAAAUCAACUUCUGUGAUGGCAAUAAACGCAUUGUGUGCUGCCAAUAGGUCUACAUGGAAUCGAAGUUGCGAAUUUUAUAAGAGGUGGUGUUCGGUUGUUAAAGUUUUGUUGCUGAAAGGAUUGAUAAACGGGAUUGAAAAUGUGAGUUUGGGUUCUGUGUUGGUGCCUCCGGAGAAGUGCUUCUUGGAGAGGUUUGUGGCCAGAUAUACAGAUGAAGUACCUCAGUUAUUGAGUGUGUAUCAAGGAAGAGUUGAAGUCCAGGAUGUAUGAGGUAUGUACGUCAAACGAGGUUAGAUAUUCGUUAUAAUUUGAGACGCCUUGUUGUAGUAUCGUAGAUGCAGUGCUGUUCAUUUCCAAUGGUAGCAGCUAACUUUUGGCUCAGCAUUACUGGUGGCUAGCCUCUGUUUAGGGGCAAUUCGAGGGUGCAAUAUAUGUAAUGGAGGUCGUACCCAGUGCACAAGGCUCCCGCUUUACGCAGGGUCUGGGAGAGGUGAAUGUCGGCUAGCCUUACCCCCAUUUUAUGGAGAGACUGCUCCCGAGUUGUAAUGCAGUUUCAUUAGAGUUGUUACCCAGACCCUGCGUAAAGCGGGAGCCUUGUGCACUGGGUACGACUUUUUUUUUAUUUUUUUUUAUUUUAAAGAAAAACCAGAUGCUGAACAAGAAUUUCUCAGUGAGUUACUACCAUUUAAUAUGGUAUUGAUUAAUAUUUCUCUGGAAGAGUCAUGGCCAAGAAAAAAA